Molecule: unclassified non-coding RNA, 329 nt
Filed under: soil metagenome
Description: partial contains 5.8S ribosomal RNA, internal transcribed spacer 2, and large subunit ribosomal RNA
Rfam family: 5.8S ribosomal RNA (bases 1-120)
Source: RNAcentral
GAUGAAGAACGUAGCGAAAUGCGAUAAGUAAUGUGAAUUGCAGAAUUCAGUGAAUCAUCGAAUCUUUGAACGCACAUUGCGCCCCCUGGUAUUCCGGGGGGCAUGCCUGUCCGAGCGUCAUUACAACCCUCAAGCUCAGCUUGGUAUUGGGCCCCGCCGCUCCGGCGGGCCCUAAAGUCAGUGGCGGUGCCGUCCGGCUCCGAGCGUAGUAAUUCUUCUCGCUCUGGAGGUCCGGUCGUGUGCUCGCCAGCAACUCCCAAUUUUUUUCAGGUUGACCUCGGAUCAGGUAGGGAUACCCGCUGAACUUAAGCAUAUCAAUAAGCGGAGGA